RNAcentral lists this transfer RNA (76 nucleotides) under Chloroflexota bacterium. Its description in RNAcentral is "Chloroflexi bacterium tRNA-Gln". It matches the Rfam family "tRNA". Rfam says of the family: Transfer RNA (tRNA) molecules are approximately 80 nucleotides in length. The record is from RNAcentral. RNAcentral also lists the same sequence under 3 other names. Lineage: Bacteria; Bacillati; Chloroflexota.
UGGGGAGUGGCCAAGCUGGUAAGGCGCCUGACUCUGGAUCAGGAGAUCAAAGGUUCGAAUCCUUUCUCCCCAGCCA